RNAcentral lists this ribosomal RNA (911 nucleotides) under uncultured bacterium. RNAcentral describes it as "bacterial SSU rRNA". It matches the Rfam family "Bacterial small subunit ribosomal RNA", at positions 1 to 922 of the family's 1533-position model. The record is from RNAcentral.
CUUAGAGUUUGAUCCUGGCUCAGGAUGAACGCUGGCGGCGCACUUAAGACAUGCAAGUCGAACGGACUUAACCGAAAUAUUUAUAUUUCGGAGCGGUUAGUGGCGGACUGGUGAGUAACGCGUAAGCAAUCUGCCUAUUAGAGGGGAAUAACAGUGAGAAAUCACUGCUAAUACCGCAUAUGCCAUGAACAUCGCAUGAUGAAAAUGGGAAAGGAGUAAUCCGCUAAUAGAUGAGCUUGCGUCUGAUUAACUAGUUGGUGUGGUAAUGGCAUACCAAGGUAACGAUCAGUAGCCGGACUGAGAGGUUGAACGGCCACAUUGGGACUGAGAUACGGCCCAGACCCCUACGGGAGGCAGCAGUCGGGAAUAUUGCGCAAUGGAGGAAACUCUGACGCAGUGACGCCGCGUAUAGGAUGAAGGUUUUCGGAUUGUAAACUAUUGUCAUUAGGGAAGAUAAAAGACAGUACCUAAGGAGGAAGCUCCGGCUAACUACGUGCCAGCAGCCGCGGUAAUACGUAGGGAGCAAGCGUUAUCCGGAUUUAUUGGGUGUAAAGGGUGCGUAGACGGGAAAUUAAGUUAGUUGUGAAAGCCCUCGGCUUAACUGAGGAAUUGCAACUAAAACUGGUUUUCUUGAGUGCAGGAGAGGUAAGUGGAAUUCCUAGUGUAGCGGUGAAAUGCGUAGAUAUUAGGAGGAACACCAGUGGCGAAGGCGACUUACUGGACUGUAACUGACGUUGAGGCACGAAAGUGUGGGGAGCAAACAGGAUUAGAUACCCUGGUAGUCCACACCGUAAACGAUGGAUACUAGGUGUAGGAUGUGUUAAACAUUCUGUGCCGUCGCAAACGCAGUAAGUAUCCCACCUGGGGAGUACGGCCGCAAGGUUGAAACUCAAAGGAAUUGACGGAAGGGC